UAACGUUACCAAAACUGUUGCCUCGGCGGGAUCUUCUGCCCCGGGUGCGUCGCAGCCCCGGACCAAGGCGCCCGCCGGAGGAAUCAACCAAAACUCUUAUUGUAUACCCCCUCGCGGGUUUUUUUUAUAAUCUGAGCCUUCUCGGCGCCUCUCGUAGGCGUUUCGAAAAUGAAUCAAAACUUUCAACAACGGAUCUCUUGGUUCUGGCAUCGAUGAAGAACGCAGCGAAAUGCGAUAAGUAAUGUGAAUUGCAGAAUUCAGUGAAUCAUCGAAUCUUUGAACGCACAUUGCGCCCGCCAGUAUUCUGGCGGGCAUGCCUGUCCGAGCGUCAUUUCAACCCUCGAACCCCUCCGGGGGGUCGGCGUUGGGGAUCGGCCUUCCUUCACGGGGGCCGUCUCCGAAAUACAGUGGCGGUCUCGCCGCAGCCUCUCCUGCGCAGUAGUUUGCACACUCGCAUCGGGAGCGCGGCGCGUCCACAGCCGUUAAACACCCAACUUUCUGAAAUGUUGACCUCGGAUCAGGUAGGAAUACCCGCUGAACUU
RNAcentral lists this ribosomal RNA (542 nucleotides) under uncultured Hypocreaceae. Its description in RNAcentral is "eukaryotic LSU rRNA". The stretch from base 178 to 331 matches the Rfam family "5.8S ribosomal RNA". Lineage: Eukaryota; Fungi; Ascomycota; Sordariomycetes; Hypocreales. The record is from RNAcentral.